CACCUUCCUGUUGACUCUUGCCAAUUAAAAACGUCCACCCAAAAACCAUUGUCAAUAUGGCGAGGAGUGUCGCCUGAUUAAAUACACGGGGCAACAUAUUGCGAAGAACAUGCUCCUGAAGAGCGGUAGGAUCUGCCUGUGAAUUGUUCAACGACUCUGUCUGACUAGGCUUUUUCUCGCAAAUUGAUCUCAAAUACGGGACUAU
Molecule: non-coding RNA, 205 nt
Filed under: Mucochytrium quahogii
Lineage: Eukaryota; Bigyra; Thraustochytrida; Thraustochytriidae
Source: RNAcentral